GCCCUUGGGUCCGGCAUAACCCCGGGAAACUGGGGAUAAUUCCGGAUAACGCACAUAUGCUGGAAUGCUUUAUGCGUAAAAUGGAUUCGUCUGCCCAAGGAUGGGUCUGCGGCCUAUCAGGUAGUAGUGGGUGUAAUGUACCUACUAGCCAACAACGGGUACGGGUUGUGAGAGCAAGAGCCCGGAGAUGGAUUCUGAGACAUGAAUCCAGGCCCUACGGGGCGCAGCAGGCGCGAAAACUUUACAAUGCGGGAAACCGUGAUAAGGGGACACCGAGUGCCAGCAUCAUAUGCUGGCUGUCCAGGUGUGUAAAAUACACCUGUCAGCAAGGGCCGGGCAAGACCGGUGCCAGCCGCCGCGGUAACACCGGCGGCCCGAGUGGUGAUCGUGAUUAUUGGGUCUAAAGGGUCCGUAGCCGGUUUGGUCAGUCCUCCGGGAAAUCUGACGGCUCAACCGUUAGGCUUUCGGGGGAUACUGCCAGGCUUGGAACCGGGAGAGGUAAGAGGUACUACAGGGGUAGGAGUGAAAUCUUGUAAUCCCUGUGAGACCACCUGUGGCGAAGGCGUCUUACCAGAACGGGUUCGACGGUGAGGGACGAAAGCUGGGGGCACGAACCGGAUUAGAUACCCGGGUAGUCCCAGCCGUAAACGAUGCUCGCUAGGUGUCAGGCAUGGCGCGACCGUGUCUGGUGCCGCAGGGAAGCCGUGAAGCGAGCCACCUGGGAAGUACGGCCGCAAGGCUGAAACU
Molecule: ribosomal RNA, 747 nt
Filed under: uncultured archaeon
Lineage: Archaea
Description: bacterial SSU rRNA
Rfam family: Archaeal small subunit ribosomal RNA
Source: RNAcentral